CAGUCGCCGCGGUAAUACGAAGGGGGCUAGCGUUGCUCGGAAUGACUGGGCGUAAAGGGCGCGUAGGCGGUCACGAUAGACAGAUGUGAAAUUCCUGGGCUUAACCUGGGGACUGCAUUUGAUACUGUGUGGCUUGAGUGUGGAAGAGGGUCGUGGUAUUCCCAGUGUAGAGGUGAAAUUCGUAGAUAUUGGGAAGAACACCGGUGGCGAAGGCGGCGACCUGGUCCAUAACUGACGCUGAGGCGCGAAAGCGUGGGGAGCAAACAGGAUUAGAUACCCCAGUAGUCCCUGUCUCUUAUAC
RNAcentral lists this ribosomal RNA (301 nucleotides) under uncultured bacterium. Its description in RNAcentral is "partial 16S ribosomal RNA". It matches the Rfam family "Bacterial small subunit ribosomal RNA", at positions 509 to 807 of the family's 1533-position model. The record is from RNAcentral.